UCUCCGUUGGUGAACCAGCGGAGGGAUCAUUACAGGACUCGCAAGACUCCUACAACCCUGUGAACUUAACUAUAAGUACGUUGCUUCGGCGGGUGUCUCGGAGGGGGUUCUCCCUCCCCGAGACGCUAAACCCGCCGGCAGCCUACUAUACUCUGUCUCUUUGCGUUGGCAUCUCGAGUACAAUCAAACAAGUUAAAACUUUCAACAACGGAUCUCUUGGUUCUG
RNAcentral lists this unclassified non-coding RNA (225 nucleotides) under plant metagenome. RNAcentral describes it as "partial contains small subunit ribosomal RNA, internal transcribed spacer 1, and 5.8S ribosomal RNA". The record is from RNAcentral.